Non-coding RNA from Lactuca sativa (garden lettuce), 1947 nucleotides. The record is from RefSeq and is a predicted model, not a curated record. NCBI's taxonomy places the organism in Eukaryota, Viridiplantae, Streptophyta, Magnoliopsida, Asterales, Asteraceae.
UUUUAACAUAAUCGUCUUUGAUUUAUUUUUCAUUUUUUUAGGUUCGGACGAAUUUCGGGUUUUCUACACAGAUAUGAGCAAUUGAUGAGCAUACUCGAGACUCGAGAGUCGAGAUUUUAUUGAUUAACGUGAGCGCACAUAAAACCAGUAGAUGAAAUAAAAUAAAAUUAUACUAAAUGGGUAGCAAAACUCCCUCCGGGUGAGAGAGAGAGAGAGAGAGAGAGUAAAUAAAAAUGGGAAUCGAAGCCGGGGAGUCCUCCGGUGCCGGACGUCCCGAGACGAGCAGUGGUAGAGAAGAUGCCGGUCCAGCUACCACCCCAACCAGUACCUCCAACUCCGUACGCCGCCGGUUCUCGCUGGCGGCUCAGCCGGAGAUAAUGAGAGCGGCGCAGAAGGAUGACCAGUAUGCUUCUUUCGUCUACGAGGCCUGUCGUGACGCCUUUCGCCACUUAUUCGGUACAAGGGCAGCUAUAUCGUAUCAGAAUGAGACAAAGCUUUUGGGGCAGAUGCUUUAUUAUGUUUUAACAACAGGAGCAGGGCAACAAACAUUGGGAGAGGAAUACUGUGAUGUCACACAGGUUGCAGGAUUACAUGGGCUUCCUCCAACACCAGCAAGACGUGCACUUUUCAUUGUCUACCAGAGUGCAGUUCCCUACAUUGCUGAAAGAGUCAGCUCUAGAAUUGCUUCACGUAGCAUUGCCUUGACCGAAUCAGAGUCACUGUCUGAUGAUAUCCAUGGGGAUGCUUCUAGAAGCAUCCAUGGUCAACCCUCUGCAAGUCAACUCUCUUCUUCUCCUUCACCAAUAGUUUCAAUUUCACCUCUCUCAAGAUUCAAACAUAAAAUUACUUCCCUUUGGUUGCACACAGUUCAGAGAUGGCCUGUAGUGCUUCCAUUAGCCCGUGAGUUUUUGCAGCUGCUUCUUCGUGCUAACCUUAUGUUCUUCUAUUUUGAAGGUUUAUAUUAUCAUAUAUCAAAGCGUGCAGCAGGCAUUCGAUAUGUUUUUAUUGGGAAGCCCAUGAAUCAAAGACCCAGAUAUCAAAUAUUGGGCAUGUUUCUAUUGGUUCAGUUGUGUGUUAUUGCUGCUGAAGGAUUGAGGCGUAGCAACUUAGCAUCCAUCACAUCUUCUGUUCAGCAGACAUCUUUAAGCCUCCACCAAGCAUCUGCAGGGAGAGGUUUACCUGUUUUAAAUGAAGAAGGAAAUUUGAUCACUGGGGAUACUGAGAAAGUAUCGGACUCAUUCACAACCUCUGAGCAGUCUGGAUCAAGUGUGAUUAGCAAAUGUACACUUUGCCUUAGUAAUCGACAAAAUCCAACUGCAACUCCUUGUGGACACGUCUUUUGCUGGAAUUGCAUAAUGGAAUGGUGUAAUGAAAAGCCGGAAUGCCCUUUAUGUCGUUCUCCUCUAACUCAUUCAACCUUAGUUUGUUUGUACCAUUCAGAUUUUUAGCAUACACGGAAAAAAAGAAAAAGAAAAAUUACCAUCAAGGCUAAUGUUAUCGCUAAUUACCAGUCAUAUUGUACCACCUGGUUUUAGAUCCAAGGCUUUUUAAGUGAUUCUUGUGAGUUUGGAUCUCAAGGAAGAAGGAAGAGCAUAGAAGGAUCAAGAGGGGACUGAAGGACUCAAGUUUGGUUCAUCAUUUGCAGUCUUGGGAAGCCGGAGGGUUUUCGGAGCAGCAACAACAGCAAUCAGAUGAUUCCCGCACGGUUCAGCAGAUACGAGGUACCUCUUCAUCCAAGGGGAAGGAGUCGGCGGCGUAGCAUGGCAUCACACACACUCACACAUGAUUUCCGCACGGUGUUUUCUGGGAUUGUACUCUAAUAUGACAUUUGUUCAUGGUUGUGGGUUUCAAAUAUGAUACUUGGUUUCGAGAUGACGUGUUUAUACAAUAUUUUCUAAUGAAUGUUUUAUGAAUUAAUUAAUCGAAAAUGAAAUUUUUGGGCUUGAA